Molecule: ribosomal RNA, 253 nt
Filed under: uncultured bacterium
Lineage: Bacteria
Description: partial 16S ribosomal RNA
Rfam family: Bacterial small subunit ribosomal RNA
Source: RNAcentral
UACGGAAGGGGCAAGCGUUGUUCGGAAUCAUUGGGCGUAAAGGGCGCGUAGGUGGUUCUGUAUGUCUUCCGUGAAAGCAUACAGCUCAACUGUAUUUUGUCGGUAGAAACUGCAGGACUUGAGGCUGGGAGGGGCUGGUGGAAUUCCCUGUGUAGCGGUGAAAUGCGUAGAGAUGGGGGAGAACACUCGUGGCGAAGGCGGCCAGCUAGACCAGUUCUGACACUGAGGCGCGACAGCGUGGGGAGCAAACAGG